UACGGGGGGGGCAAGCGUUGUUCGGAAUUACUGGGCGUAAAGGGCUCGUAGGUGGCCAACUAAGUCAGACGUGAAAUCCCUCGGCUUAACCUGGGAACUGCAUUCGUGACUGCAUGGCUAGAGUGCGGCAGAGGGGGAUGGAAUUCCGCGUGUAGCAGUGAAAUGCGUAGAUAUGCGGAGGAACACCGAUGGCGAAGGCAAUCCCCUGGGCCUGCACUGACGCUCAUGCACGAAAGCGUGGGGAGCAAACAGG
Molecule: ribosomal RNA, 253 nt
Filed under: uncultured bacterium
Lineage: Bacteria
Description: partial 16S ribosomal RNA
Rfam family: Bacterial small subunit ribosomal RNA
Source: RNAcentral